RNAcentral lists this transfer RNA (77 nucleotides) under Candidatus Bathyarchaeota archaeon. RNAcentral's name for it is "tRNA-Lys". It matches the Rfam family "tRNA". From Rfam's summary of the family: Transfer RNA (tRNA) molecules are approximately 80 nucleotides in length. Their secondary structure includes four short double-helical elements and three loops (D, anti-codon, and T loops). The record is from RNAcentral. RNAcentral also lists the same sequence under 1 other name. Lineage: Archaea; Thermoproteati; Candidatus Bathyarchaeota.
GGGCCCGUAGCUUAGCAAGGCAGAGCAUCGGACUCUUAAUCCGAGGGUCACGGGUUCAAUUCCCGCCGGGCCCGCCA